GCGGGUCUAUACAUGCAGUCGAGCGGACAGAAGGGAGCUUGCUCCCGGAUGUUAGCGGCGGACGGGUGAGUAACACGUGGGUAACCUGCCUGUAAGACUGGGAUAACUCCGGGAAACCGGAGCUAAUACCGGAUAGUUCCUUGAACCGCAUGGUUCAAGGAUGAAAGACGGUUUCGGCUGUCACUUACAGAUGGACCCGCGGCGCAUUAGCUAGUUGGUGGGGUAAUGGCUCACCAAGGCGACGAUGCGUAGCCGACCUGAGAGGGUGAUCGGCCACACUGGGACUGAGACACGGCCCAGACUCCUACGGGAGGCAGCAGUAGGGAAUCUUCCGCAAUGGACGAAAGUCUGACGGAGCAACGCCGCGUGAGUGAUGAAGGUUUUCGGAUCGUAAAGCUCUGUUGUUAGGGAAGAACAAGUGCGAGAGUAACUGCUCGCACCUUGACGGUACCUAACCAGAAAGCCACGGCUAACUACGUGCCAGCAGCCGCGGUAAUACGUAGGUGGCAAGCGUUGUCCGGAAUUAUUGGGCGUAAAGGGCUCGCAGGCGGUUUCUUAAGUCUGAUGUGAAAGCCCCCGGCUCAACCGGGGAGGGUCAUUGGAAACUGGGAAACUUGAGUGCAGAAGAGGAGAGUGGAAUUCCACGUGUAGCGGUGAAAUGCGUAGAGAUGUGGAGGAACACCAGUGGCGAAGGCGACUCUCUGGUCUGUAACUGACGCUGAGGAGCGAAAGCGUGGGGAGCGAACAGGAUUAG
Molecule: ribosomal RNA, 754 nt
Filed under: Bacillus pumilus
Lineage: Bacteria; Bacillati; Bacillota; Bacilli; Caryophanales; Bacillaceae
Description: bacterial SSU rRNA
Rfam family: Bacterial small subunit ribosomal RNA
Source: RNAcentral